Bemisia tabaci is the source of this 3024-nucleotide RNA transcript. It is a transcript of the gene named signal sequence receptor subunit 1 l(1)G0320, with no coding region annotated. NCBI's taxonomy places the organism in Eukaryota, Metazoa, Arthropoda, Insecta, Hemiptera, Aleyrodidae. The record is from RefSeq and is a predicted model, not a curated record.
ACGUUGACUGCGGAAACUCCAAAUCGUCAAAUCCUCCUGAUGGUAGAGUAAGGUUAUUUCAAUACCCCCUUUCCCUUAUUUUCAAUUCAGCAAUUGAACGUGCAUCUCUACUAACUAGUGUAACUCCUGAAACCAGUAAUUAAUAGGCAAAAUGAAAUACUUUUCACUCUUUCUUCUUUUGGUGCUGCCAGCAAUCGUUUGCAUCUUUGAGAGAGAAAAUGGAGUCUUCGUCAGGGCAGUGGAUGAAGAUGACGAUAGCUUGGUCGAUGUUGAAGGAGAGGAACAAGAAACUUCUGUGACAGAUGAAGGAGGCGAGGAAGCCGUCAAAUCUGCGAGUGGAGCCGCAACGAAUGCAGAUACAACUGUCUUAUUCACAAAACCAGUGACGCCUGUUGGCACUUCUCUAGAUUUGCCAGCUGGCCAAAUAGCUGAAUUCUUAGUUGGAUUCUCUAACAAAGGUAAUGACGAUUUUGUAUUGGAAACUCUUGAUGCCUCAUUCAGAUACCCAAUGGAUUUCAGCUUUUACAUCCAGAACUUCACAACGAUUGCAUACAACAAACGAGUAAAGCCUCACCAUGAAGCCACACUUGCUUACUCCUUUAUCCCAGCCGAAGCCUUUGCUGGUCGUCCAUUUGGUCUGAGUAUCAAUCUACGCUACCGAGAUGCUGCUGGAGAGCAAUACUACGAAGGAAUUUACAAUGAAACAGUAAACAUAGUGGAAAUCGAUGAAGGUCUCGAUGGAGAAACGUUCUUCUUAUAUGUCUUCCUUGGUGGUUGUGUUGUUCUACUGUUAGUUGUAGGCCAACAGCUAUUAUACUCAAUUGGCAAAAGACGCCGAAUUGGAGGUUCUUCGAAAAAGCAAACUGUAGAAUUAGGAACGAAAAAUGAUGAUGUGGACUAUGAAUGGAUCCCUAAGGAAACACUUGCACAUUUGAACCAAUCUCCAAAAACACCAAAGCAAAGUCCUCGACAGAGGAAACCUAAAAAGUCACCUGGAAAAAAUGAAAUAUAAUUGUUCCUUCUUACAAUGCCAACUUAAACUGUCUUCUGUUGAAGAUUUAUUAGAAUUUAAAAAAGGACAUCCGCAGCUCAAUCUGGAAUUCUUCAAAAAGUUCGAAAUAAGUCAAGAUUUUGUUUGAAGAUGUGGAGAGACAACACACAAUGCACAACCAUCGAAUGACGAUUUCCUCACUCGAGCCUUCCUUUUUUUCUUGUCAGUCAAAUUUCGUUUUGUGUUGUUAAUGAUUUUGCUGCUACUUCAGGGAUCUUAUCCAAUUAGCAGAGCUAUCAGGGAUUUUAGGAAGCUCUCUUAACGGACAUUUUCAGUGGGCUCUUCAGCAGAAUGUUUCGGAAAAAUCCAAUUACCUCUCUCAGAUCUUAGCUGUCGCAAGUUUUUUUAAUUUAAAAGAAUGAAGCACAAAAAUUGUAAGAUAUCCAACCCCCUGACACAUUGAAAUUUUGUGAGCAAUAGUUAGGCUAAGCUGCCAACUUGUAGGAUAUUUUGUGAAAAUUACAUAUCAACAAAUGAACAAAGAGAGUUUAAAUCAGGGACGGGCGGAUAUUGAAAAAGUGAUGGAAAAUAUCAACCCAUCUGUACUUAAACCGGCUCGUUUUAAUUGUUUUUUGUUUUUGAGACAAACUGGUCCAAAAUUACUCCAAGUAUCGUAUCAACCAGCCCACUGGGAUUUUUUGCAGUGUCCCAGCCUACCUAUCUGCCCCUGCUUCUGAUAUGCCCUAAAUGAUGCUUCUUGAUCACACAUUUUUUUUUUCUUCUUAUUAAAUCUUGUCUUUCAUUGCGUAUUCCAUUGACGCAGUUUUUAACUUGUAGAUUUUAAGUCCCAAGUCUUAAUUAUAAAAUCCACUCAAUACUCCAAACUCGCUCAACUUUAGACAUAUUUUCUUGAAGCAUGAAAUUGACAAAAUCCCAAAUAAUUCCAGCAAGGAAAGUGAAGAUAAGUACUAAUUAAUCUCCCAGCUGGUGAAAGUGAAUGUGAUAGAAUCUACAUCUAUUCUUUGUUUAAGACCUUAUUCCAGGCCAAAGCUUGCCUCAUUUCAUGGAUUUUGGUUGGUUUCUUGGGAUUGUGGAUUGCAAAAGCUUAAAAAUGAUUCAUUGUAAUGAGGGAAGCAUGCAAAGAAUUAAAUCUGAGUUUCCUUGUUUUUUGUUUUUUCCGAAUCACUCUACUCUUUAGCCAGCUAAUAUUGAUUUUCACUGCUUUAACCAAACGAAUUCUUUAUUAUUUUGUCCAAAAGUAAGUAAGAUAAGUUUUUUAAAUCCGAUCAAAUUUUCUCCCCCCAAGACAAUACCUGAACAUCUCUUUGCCUCAUACAUAUAUAACUAGCCCACAACAUUUGAUUCCUUCAAUUUUUUCCCUCCAAAGUGUAUUUAUCAAUGAAGUAUGUAUGUGUUCAUGCAUAUCCCCCUAACACCAGAGAUUUUCUUUUGAUGACUCAAUUUUUGUACCCUUUUUUUUUACUGUAAUUUUGUAAAGUUUUGAUCAGGAACUUAAGUCAGUUUUAAAGGCCAGCUUGAAGAACAUCUUGGCUGAUAAGACGUCACCAAGUAGGAAGGAUUUAUCUGAAAUUUUUUUUUUCAUAAAAAGUAUCCUUACUAAAAUAUUCUAUUCAACUUAAUGUUGUCCUUUAAAACCCUCUAUGUAGAAUGGAUCAAAUCUACGUAGUGAUUGCUGAUUUUAACUCUGCUAGUACUAGUUACCUGUUACGGUUUUUAUUAUGUACUCAAUUCUUCAUCCCAAAUAAGUGCAUUUCAGAUGCACUGUGACAUCAGCCAAAAGAGACAGUAGAACUGCAAGCCAAAGUUUGCAGAGCUCCUGUUCUAGCAAGUCUGAAAAGCUGGUUCUCAGUUCCUCGUUUAGGUGUUUCAAAUUAUAAAUAUUGUAAAUAAAAGCAGUGUAAUUCAUAAGUCCAAAGUUCAAUUACGUUAGAUUGUUUUUGUGUACUAUCAUCGUGUAAAUUAAGACAAAUAAUUUCAUAAAUUAAAUUAGUCUGUUCCAAUUUUUUUUAUAA